GCCCUAUCAGGGUCGCACCUAGAGGGUUUCCAGUAUUCUCCAGUCUCGGCUACGGGAGGGAGAGUCAAGCAGAAGCCUACCCAUUCCAUUCCUAGCUUGGCCAGUGGCUAGCGAAUGGAAGGCAAUCUGCCACAAGU
Small nucleolar RNA from Ornithorhynchus anatinus (platypus), 137 nucleotides. The record is from RefSeq and is a predicted model, not a curated record. Lineage: Eukaryota; Metazoa; Chordata; Mammalia; Monotremata; Ornithorhynchidae.